GAUGAACGCUGGCGGCAUGCCUAACACAUGCAAGUCGAACGAAGCCUUCGGGCUUAGUGGCGCACGGGUGCGUAACGCGUGGGAAUCUGCCCUUGGGUUCGGAAUAACAGUUAGAAAUGACUGCUAAUACCGGAUGAUGUCUUCGGACCAAAGAUUUAUCGCCCAAGGAUGAGCCCGCGUAGGAUUAGGUAGUUGGUGGGGUAAUGGCCCACCAAGCCGACGAUCCUUAGCUGGUCUGAGAGGAUGAUCAGCCACACUGGGACUGAGACACGGCCCAGACUCCUACGGGAGGCAGCAGUGGGGAAUAUUGGACAAUGGGCGAAAGCCUGAUCCAGCAAUGCCGCGUGAGUGAUGAAGGCCUUCGGGUUGUAAAGCCCUUUUACCAGGGAUGAUAAUGACAGUACCUGGAGAAUAAGCUCCGGCUAACUCCGUGCCAGCCGCCGCAGUAA
Molecule: ribosomal RNA, 449 nt
Filed under: uncultured bacterium
Lineage: Bacteria
Description: partial 16S ribosomal RNA
Rfam family: Bacterial small subunit ribosomal RNA
Source: RNAcentral